UCGCGUCAGGAUAAACGACUGGCGGCGCACAUAAGACAUGCAAGUCGAACGGACUUAACCAUAGUUUACUAUUGGAGCGGUUAGUGGUCGGACGUGGUGAGUAACACGUAAGCAACCUGCCUAUCAGAGGGGAACGAACAGUUAGAAAUGACUGCUAAUACCGCAUAUGCCUUAGUAACACAUGUUACAAAAGGGAAAGAAGCAAUUCGCUGAUAGAUGGGCUUGCGUCUGAUUAGAUAGUUGGUGGGGUAACGGCCUACCAAGUCGACGAUCAGUAGCCGGACUGAGAGGUUGAACGGCCACAUUGGGACUGAGAUACGGCCCAGACUCCUACGGGAGGCAGCAGUCGGGAAUAUUGCGCAAUGGAGGAAACUCUGACGCAGUGACGCCGCGUGCAGGAAGAAGGUUUUCGGAUUGUAAACUGCUUUAGACAGGGAAGAAACAAGACAGUACCUGUAGAAUAAGCCCCGGCUAACUACGUG
Molecule: ribosomal RNA, 482 nt
Filed under: uncultured Eubacteriales bacterium
Lineage: Bacteria; Bacillati; Bacillota; Clostridia; Eubacteriales
Description: bacterial SSU rRNA
Rfam family: Bacterial small subunit ribosomal RNA
Source: RNAcentral